GUGGAUUAGAUACCCUGGUAGUCCACGCCGUAAACGAUGAUAACUAGCUGUCGGGGCUCUUAGAGCUUCGGUGGCGCAGCUAACGCAUUAAGUUAUCCGCCUGGGGAGUACGGCCGCAAGGUUAAAACUCAAAGGAAUUGACGGGGGCCUGCACAAGCGGUGGAGCAUGUGGUUUAAUUCGAAGCAACGCGCAGAACCUUACCAGCGUUUGACAUGUCCGGACGAUUUCCAGAGAUGGAUCUCUUCCCUUCGGGGACUGGAACACAGGUGCUGCACGGUUGUCGACAGCU
Molecule: ribosomal RNA, 290 nt
Filed under: uncultured bacterium
Lineage: Bacteria
Description: partial 16S ribosomal RNA
Rfam family: Bacterial small subunit ribosomal RNA
Source: RNAcentral